RNAcentral lists this ribosomal RNA (492 nucleotides) under uncultured bacterium. RNAcentral describes it as "partial 16S ribosomal RNA". It matches the Rfam family "Bacterial small subunit ribosomal RNA", at positions 29 to 507 of the family's 1533-position model. The record is from RNAcentral.
AGUGAACGCUGGCGGUAGGCCUAACACAUGCAAGUCGAACGGCAGCACAGUAAGAGCUUGCUCUUACGGGUGGCGAGUGGCGGACGGGUGAGGAAUACAUCGGAAUCUACUUUUUCGUGGGGGAUAACGUAGGGAAACUUACGCUAAUACCGCAUACGACCUACGGGUGAAAGCAGGGGAUCUUCGGACCUUGCGCGAUUGAAUGAGCCGAUGUCGGAUUAGCUAGUUGGCGGGGUAAAGGCCCACCAAGGCGACGAUCCGUAGCUGGUCUGAGAGGAUGAUCAGCCACACUGGAACUGGGACACGGUCCAGACUCCUACGGGAGGCAGCAGUGGGGAAUAUUGGACCAUGGGCGGAAGCCUGAUCCAGCCAUACCGCGUGGGUGAAGAAGGCCUUCGGGUUGUAAAGCCCUUUUGUUGGGAAAGAAAAGCAGCAGGUUAAUACCCCGCUGUUCUGACGGUACCCAAAGAAUAAGCACCGGCUAACUUCGUG